GAAGAAGAAGUUGUGAUGGCUUCCUCUAUGCUCUCCUCUGCCGCUGUGGUUACCUCCCCAGCUCAAGCCACCAUGGUCGCUCCAUUCACCGGCUUGAAGUCAUCCGCUACUUUCCCCGUCACCCGCAAGGCCAACAACGACAUUACUUCUAUCUCAAGCAACGGCGGAAGAGUUAGCUGCAUGAAGGUAAUGUCCUAUAAAAACUGUAUUUUGUCAUGUGUAAUUAGUGAAAUUGAACAAAACUUAGAAUAAUUGGAAUUGGGAGUUAUAGGUGUGGCCACCAAUUGGAAAGAAGAAGUUUGAGACUCUAUCUUACCUCCCUGACCUUACUGACGUCGAAUUGGCUAAGGAAGUUGACUACCUUCUCCGCAACAAGUGGAUUCCUUGUGUUGAAUUCGAGUUAGAGGUAAUAAACACUGGACCUUUCGUUUGUCUCUAAUCAUUAUAUAUUAUUUUCUUACAUAGCUAAAAACCAAAGUCAAUAAGCUUAUUUUCGUUUGUCUCUAAUCAUUGUUCAUUGAAUGGAUUUCGUAUUCAUUUAUAGCAUGGAUUUGUGUACCGUGAGCAUGGAAACACACCUGGAUACUACGAUGGACGGUACUGGACAAUGUGGAAGCUUCCAUUGUUCGGAUGCACCGACUCCGCUCAAGUGUUGAAGGAAGUGCAAGAGUGCAAGAAGGAGUACCCUAACGCCUUCAUUAGGAUCAUCGGAUUUGACAACAACCGUCAAGUCCAGUGCAUCAGUUUCAUUGCCUACAAGCCCCCAAGCUUCACUGAUUCUUAAUUAAAUCCUUUCUGGAAUAUUCAAUGUUGACUAUCCGGAACAAUUUUGUAUGGUCAAUGUAAAUUUAAGUAACUAUUAUCUAGCCAACUUAAACGUUGAGCAAUUGUUUUGCGAAAAGUGAAAAAGUUGAAGGUUUAUUUUCUAUCAUUUCCUCUAUAAUUAUAUCUAUUCAUAUCAUUUCAUUUUUGAUCUUAUCACUUUGAACUCUUUCAUCUUCGAUUUAGCUCUUUUAAGCAACAUUUUAUUUCCUUUACAUUUCCCUCCUAAUUUUUGCUUUUGAUUCUCUAGACUAACCUAUAAUAGAAGAGAGACCUUUUUAGAUACCUUUUUGGAAAAACUUUGCACAUGAAAUCAUAACAAAGAUGCCUCAAUAAAUCAAAUCUCGAAAGGGCCAGUACCUUGUGACUUAGAUGGAUGGGCUAGGACGAUCUCGCUUUCGAAAAAAAGAUUUAUUUGAUUUUGCUGUGGGUGGAGCAAUGUUGACUACCUCCGCACUAUUUUCUUGAACGGUUUUGGCUAUUUUGUACCUUGUACGCGCUUCUGCUCACGGGAAAUUUGUGAGCUUUAAGUUGGUAUUGUGGAUCCAUGACCAUAGCUUCUUCCUGUGGCCUUAGGGAGAGUUCUUGCCUCGGUUCCACACCGUCCAUUGAAGUGUGCUAUGAAAAUUCCCCACAAUCUGUCAUGUCUUCCAUGCUUAAGUUGACAUGGUGGAAAUCAUCUUGAGGUGCCACAUUUUAAGUGGGCCGUACGUGCAAUGGUGUGGUGCUCCGAAAGGAACGGUAGCAUGGGUUCCUAUAGCAUUGGAUCGUUUUCUAAACAAUAUGCAUUAUGUGUUUAUAAAUUUUAGUAAUUGUACAUACAUGUCCCAGUUUAAAAACAGAUUAACAUACAUUAUAAUUUUAAGGGCUGCCUAUAGCGUUACACCUAUACUAUAGCGUUUCAACUCCUAUCCACCUGUACUUUCGACCUCUGCCCAAUUCACCUUAUACUUGUUUUAAACUUCCUAAUUCCACCUAAACUAUUAAAUUCUCCAUAAUUAACCAAAAUCAAGAACUCUCUAUAAUUGCGAUUAAAAAUCGUUCAAAUCGCGUUUACUGUAGGCCAACCCGAGUCAGAUCCGACCAGCUUCGAAGACUUCUUUCACCAUAAGGGUUUGACUCGUGUUCAUUUGUUUUGUCGGGUCAACCUCGGAUUAAUAUAAACACAUAUUUUUUUACUGCAAUUUGAACUAUUUUUAAUCGUAAUUAUAGAGAGUUGGGCAGAUGUCGAAAGUACAUGUGGAUAGGAGUUGAAACGAUAUAUAUAGUAUAGUUGUAACGCUAUAGGCAGCCCUAAUUUUAAUAAGAAUGAUAUAAACUCAACUAAACUUCCUCUUCUUAGUUUGAAACUUUGCAUGACCAUUAACUCUCUUAUACUGCAUAAGACAUAAUUAGUGACAUAUUUUUUUCUUUCUAUUAUCAAUAUUUUCGUUAGCAUGUACUCGUUGUAAGAUGAAUAGAGAAAUAAUUGAAUUAUGAAAUAACGAAAUCAAUGUAUAUAUAUAUAAAACAAAAACAAUUUUACGCUGAACAAUUUUUUUUUAAAAAAAGGCAAAAAAAUUGCUUGUUUCAUAUUAUAGGAUGUUUUGGACCUUUUUUUUUGUUUCACAAUAUAUAAUGCUUUGAAGAAAAAAUACAAGUUUCUAUGUAAAACAUUAAAUUUAAUAGAUUAUUGACUAUUUACAUUAUGCAGUAAAUUAUAUCACUGAUUAAAUUAUUUUUAAUAGAUAUUAAUUUUUGUUUUAAUGUUAAAAACUCAAGAUUAGUUAAUUUCUUAAACUUUGUGCUUUCAUCUUUUUUUUUAUCUUUUUUUUUUGUCAUCCGAAAUUAAUUAUACCUCAAAAGAGAGAGUAUUAUUUGAAACAAAGAGAGUAUUAUUUAGCAGAUAAAUGACUUUUAUCUGAUUUAAUUAUAAUUUUAAAAUGUGCGGGAUGAAUUAAAAGAUCAUUUAUCAUUUUUCACGUUUUGUUUUUUUCCAGUUAGGUUUUUGUGAAUGGUUUUUACUCAGCGUAAUCAUGUUUUAAGAACAAGAACGUGAGAAAGUUAACAAAAUACCGUUGCAAGACUUUAUUUUUGUUUUACACAAAAUGUAGUUUUAUAUUUUCAAAGUAGUUUUUUUUAAUAGAAUUUACUUAUAUUCUUUUUAGUUAAGAUAAUCAAAUGGGAAAAUAAAAAUAUUAAUGUGUUAAUACAAGAUAAUAGAAAUUUAAUCAUUUUAAUAUAUAUGUAAAAAGUAUUCAACCGAUAUUUACAAUUAGACAGAACUAAGAAGUAUUAAAUUUCUCACCUCACCUCCCAAAAGAAAGGAGCCAAAAGCAACCGAUCAAGUGGAGACCAGUACUAGCCAUACACAUUCACUCGUUCCCUUACAAGAGAAAGAUAAGAUUAUGGAGUUUUCUGCCACUUGGUCUUAUCCUAGUGGUCCGAAUUGAUAAGGGUUUCAACACCUUUCCUUAAUCCUGUGGCAAUUAACGACGUUAUCAUGAAUUAUGGCCACUUUGAUCAUUAGGGCUUUUUGCCUUGCAGUUCUCACUAUAUAAAGAUGACCAAAUCAAUCGACAAACAAGUAAAAGAAACAACAAGAAGUAGUGAUGGCUUCAUCUAUGCUCUCCUCUGCCGCUAUGGUUACCUCCCCAGCUCAAGCCACCAUGGUCGCUCCAUUCACCGGCUUGAAGUCAUCCGCUGCUUUCCCGGUCACCCGCAAGGCCAACAACGACAUUACUUCUAUCUCAAGCAACGGCGGAAGAGUUAGCUGCAUGAAGGUAAUGUCCUAUAAAAACUGUAUUUUGUCAUGUGUAAUUAGUGAAAUUGAACAAAACUUAGAAUAAUUGGAAUUGGGAGUUAUAGGUGUGGCCACCAAUUGGAAAGAAGAAGUUUGAGACUCUAUCUUACCUCCCUGACCUUACUGACGUCGAAUUGGCUAAGGAAGUUGACUACCUUCUCCGCAACAAGUGGAUUCCUUGUGUUGAAUUCGAGUUAGAGGUACUAAACACCGAACUUUUCCUUUGUCUCUAAUCAUCCUUUAUUAUUUCUGUUCAUUGGUAGAAACAUAAGUCAAUAACCGGAUUUUAAAACCCGAAAUAGACUAUAACCGUGUGACUCCUCGACUAUCAAUGGUAUUGAAUGGUUUUGUCAUCUGUUUAUAGCACGGAUUUGUGUACCGUGAGCACGGAAACACUCCCGGAUACUACGAUGGACGGUACUGGACAAUGUGGAAGCUUCCAUUGUUCGGAUGCACCGAUUCUGCUCAAGUGUUGAAGGAAGUGCAAGAAUGCAAGAAGGAGUACCCUAAUGCCUUCAUUAGGAUCAUCGGAUUCGACAACAACCGUCAAGUCCAAUGCAUCAGUUUCAUUGCCUACAAGCCCCCAAGCUUCACCGAUGCUUAAUUCCCUUUCUGGAAUGUUCAACGUUGACUAGUAUUUCGGAAUCCAAUUCUAUGUGGUCAAUGCAAAUUUAAGAAAUUAAUUAGCCGACUUAAAAGUUGAGGAAUUAUUGUGUGAAAGUGAAAAAUUUGAAGGUUUUUUCUAUCAAUUUCCUUAUAAUUAUAUUUACUCAUUUGAUUUCAUUUUUUUUCUUCUAGCUCUUUGAGCUCUAUUUUUCGUUUAGCUCCUUUUGACAACAUUCCGGUUCAUUUAAAUUCUCCUCAUUAUUCUUGCUUUUGAGAAAUUGGCUACAUUGUUUCGAGAAAUUUUGCACAUGAAAGCAUAACAAAGAUGCCUCAAUUUAUCAAACCUCGAUGAUUUAGAACAAAAGAUUAUUUAAGGGGGUGUAACCUUUUAAGAUGAAAUAGCCAUUGGAGAUAGCAAAAGGUAGUAAAAGACGUAUACACUAUAAACAAAAUCCAAAUGUAUGCUUUUAAAAUUAUAAACAUGUAUUCCAAACGCCUAAGUGGAAUAUUCAGUUUAAUUCAAGUCCAAGAAAUGGCAUUAUAUAAAGCAAGGAUCGACAAAGACUGAAAUUUGUCUAGCAUGAAGUUACUAAAUUUUGGAAAUUGUGUUCACGUUAAAAGCUGAAACUUAACAGUUAUUUAUAAGGAAAAGCAGUUAAUGUUCCCAAAAAGUUCUAAAUGAAACUAGAAACCAAAUGAUAAAGAAAACGUAGCAUCUACAUGUUUGGUUUUAGUUUUUUUUUUUUUGACAAAAAUAUUCAAAUGUUUUUAGAUUCUUCUAUGCAAACGAUAUAUAGAAAAUAUAUACAUGAUUCAAAUAUAAUACAAAUAAAAAUAAUUAUUGAAAUUACCGAACAUUUUUUUGCAUCUCCCUGAUUUACUUCCCACAUUUUCGUUUCAAAUAAAAUUCAAGAAAAAGAAAGACGACGAAAAAAAAUGACUUAAAAAGACAAGGGACAGAAGCUGGUAACUUAGAUGGAUGGGUUAGGACUAUCUCACUUUCGAAAAAUGUUUAUUUGGUUGAGGUGCGGAGUGGAGUGGAGCUUGUGAUUCUUUGCCCUAUAUGAGAGUUUUUUCGUGACCAAUUAUGGUGAUUGUGUACUUUGUAUACAUGUUUCUUCUCAUAUGGUUGAAAUGGGGGCAUUUGUGAGCUUUAAGGUGGCAGUCUUGAUCCACGACCAUAGCUUUACAUGACUUUAAGGUGAGUUCUUGCCUUGGUUCUACACCGUUGAUUGAAAUGAAUUAUGAAAAUUCCUCAUGAUCCGCCAUUUUUACAUGCUAAGUUUUUUUUUUUUGAAAAAUGCAUGCUUAAGUUGAAACGGUGGUUAUCAACUUGAGGUGCCAUAUUUGUGAUUAAGUGGGCCGUAAGUGCAACGGCGUGGUACUCAAAGAGGAACGGUGGGGUGGGUUUCACAUCGUGAUUGUGAUGUGAGUAUGUAUGUGACCAGAGUCCAGGGCCGGCUCAAAAUUAUUCGAGACCUUGUGCUGAUGUAUAAAAAUUGGUUUUUAAAUAAUAUAGUGAAAAUUUUGGACCCUCAAUCUUAGAGGAAAUUGAAAUUUUUUUUUGAGGACCCUGUGCUUUUGCUCCUCUAGCACACCCUUAGAGCUGGCACUGCCAGAGUCACAAGAUAAUCGUGAGCUGGUCUUACUUGUUGAUCGAGAGGCAGCAUUAACUCAUAUAGAAGAAACCAUGGACCUCCGACCUUGGGAGGUUUUCUUGGAAAUUCUUCCAUGAUGGAAGCUUACCGCAUGAGCAUGAUACAGGUAGAUGCAUGAUGGUUUCGGUUGUUUGCUCGAUCGCUUUCUACCACAAACAUAUCUUGCAUCUAAUUGUUGUUGCCUUGUUGGUUCUCAAAUAUUUACUCUCGAAACAGUAAGAUGUUGUUAGCCAUACGUAAAUCAGAAAUAAAAGUAUAGUUGGCUAAAACUGCAGUGAGUAUAGAAUUAACCGAUAUCAAUUUAUUCAAAUUUCCGUCUCUCUUUUCUUUUGUUGGCUAAUAUAUUAUCAUUUGAAGAUAAUAUAUAGUUUUUCCAAGAAAAGAAUAUUGACAAUUUUUUUGUGGUAAGUGAUUUUAAGAAUGACUCCAGAAUCGACAGGUUACCCAGACAAUAUUUAUCAUGGAUAAACCUAUCGAAAAAUCUUAAAAAUCAGUAUUAAUAAAACGGAAGUAGUAAUGAACUUCUAAGCUAUGCAUUACAAUACAUUUAUCUCAAUGUCGAAUUUAAAUAAUUUUCUUAGAACUCCUUUUUUAAUGCGACCUUAUUCACCAAAUCAAGUGAAGCCAAAUUAAAUCAUGCAUGGUAAAUAAAAUAUCCAAAAGCAUUAAAUUUAAGGUAAUGCGUCUGAUUUCUUUCCUCCCAAACGAAAGGAGCCAAAAGCAACCGAUCAAGUGGAAACCAAUAACCACACAUUCACUUCGUUUCCCCCACAAGAGAAGAUAAGAUAAUGGAGUUUUCUGCCACGUGGCAUUAUCCUAGUGGUCCGUACCGAUAAGGGUGUCAACACCUUUCCUUAAUCCUGUGGCAGUAAACGACGUUAUCAUGAAUUAUGGACCCUUUGAUCAUGAGGGGCUUUUUUCCUGUUGCGGUUCUCACUAUAUAAAGAUGACAAAACCAGUAGACAAACAAGUAAGUAAGAGAAAAGAGCAAAAGAAGAAGAGAAACAACAAGAAGUAGUAAUGGCUUCCUCUAUGCUCUCCUCGGCCGCUGUGGUUACCUCCCCGGCUCAAGCCACCAUGGUCGCUCCAUUCUCCGGCUUGAAGUCAUCCGCUGCUUUCCCGGUCACCCGCAAGGCCAACAACGACAUUACUUCCAUCGCAAGCAACGGGGGAAGAGUUAGCUGCAUGAAGGUAAAGUAAAGUCAUUAAUGAAAGAUGUCUUUUGUCAUGGCAAUUAGUGUAAUUGAACAAAACAUAGAAUAAUUGGAAUUGGAUUCGGGAAUUAUAGGUAUGGCCACCAAUCGGAAAGAAGAAGUUUGAGACUUUAUCUUAC
RNAcentral lists this long non-coding RNA (7201 nucleotides) under Arabidopsis lyrata. Its description in RNAcentral is "long non-coding RNA (ALYR_LNC001107)". Lineage: Eukaryota; Viridiplantae; Streptophyta; Magnoliopsida; Brassicales; Brassicaceae. The record is from RNAcentral.